RNAcentral lists this ribosomal RNA (253 nucleotides) under uncultured bacterium. RNAcentral describes it as "partial 16S ribosomal RNA". It matches the Rfam family "Bacterial small subunit ribosomal RNA", at positions 524 to 776 of the family's 1533-position model. The record is from RNAcentral.
UACGUAGGGUCCGAGCGUUGUCCGGAAUUACUGGGCGUAAAGAGCUCGUAGGUGGUUUGUCGCGUUGUUCGUGAAAACUCACAGCUCAACUGUGGGCGUGCGGGCGAUACGGGCAGACUAGAGUACUGCAGGGGAGACUGGAAUUCCUGGUGUAGCGGUGGAAUGCGCAGAUAUCAGGAGGAACACCGGUGGCGAAGGCGGGUCUCUGGGGAGUAACUGACGCUGAGGAGCGAAAGCAUGGGGAGCGAACAGG